Molecule: non-coding RNA, 25 nt
Filed under: Mus musculus (house mouse)
Lineage: Eukaryota; Metazoa; Chordata; Mammalia; Rodentia; Muridae
Source: RNAcentral
UCCAAUCGCGCAGAACCUGAGACUG